This 333-nucleotide unclassified non-coding RNA is filed under the name Hevea brasiliensis (rubber tree). The record is from RNAcentral. Lineage: Eukaryota; Viridiplantae; Streptophyta; Magnoliopsida; Malpighiales; Euphorbiaceae.
GCUGAGUCUCCAUCAGAGUACCAAAUCCCUUGAUUUGUGGAAGAAUGAGACAGUGGUAACCGCUGCAUAGGUGACUCCAUGGAACAGCUAUUACCUCCUGCUGAUCUUGAGGCUGGUAGAGGACGGUCCACAUUAAUAAUUCGGUGGUUCUCCAUCAUGACAUGGUGUCCUCCAUCAGAUGAACUGUUUCUCAAAUUCGAUGGUGUUCUAGAAAUAGGUGAAAGAAUCUGCUGGUUAUAGACCUCCAUGUGCACAGAAGGCCUAGUAUUCGUAAAAUCUCCGGACUCUUUAGAGUCAAAAACUACAGACCUACGCUCACCACUAUUAGUAUUU